GAUGAACGCUGGCGGCGUGCCUAAUACAUGCAAGUCGAGCGAAGCGGGGACGGGUGAGUAACACGUGGAUAACCUCCUAUAAGACUGGGAUAACUUCGGGAAACCGGAGCUAAACCGGAUACUUACAGCUGGAUCCGCGCUGCAUUAGCUAGUUGGAAAGGUAACGGCUUACCAAGGCAACGAUGUAUAGACGACCUGUGAGGGUGAUCUGCCACACUGGCACUGAGACACGGUCCAUGCUCCUACGUGAGGCAGCAGUAGUGAAUCUUCCGCAAAGGGCGAAAGCCUGACGGAGAAACGCCGCGUGCGUGAUGAAGGUCCUCGGAGCGUAAAACUCUGUUAUUAGGUAAGCGGUACCUGAUCAGAAAGCCACGGCUAACUACGUGCCAGCCGCCGCGGUAAUAC
This 405-nucleotide ribosomal RNA is filed under the name uncultured bacterium. Its description in RNAcentral is "partial 16S ribosomal RNA". It matches the Rfam family "Bacterial small subunit ribosomal RNA", at positions 28 to 526 of the family's 1533-position model. The record is from RNAcentral.